Molecule: unclassified non-coding RNA, 298 nt
Filed under: plant metagenome
Description: partial contains small subunit ribosomal RNA, internal transcribed spacer 1, and 5.8S ribosomal RNA
Rfam family: Eukaryotic small subunit ribosomal RNA (bases 1-54)
Source: RNAcentral
GGAAGUAAAAGCCGUAACAAGGUCUCCGUUGGUGAACCAGCGGAGGGAUCAUUACCGAUUUUAUUAUAACUCCUAAACCCAUGUGAUCCUACCUUCUGUUGCCUCGGCAGGCAAAUCGUAUCUUGCUACCCUAUAGGACCCUAUCUUGUAAGACGUUACUUUAUAAGGUCCUAUCCGGUAGAGAGAUGCGGUACUACCUGCUGGUAUACUGAAAAAAAAAUUCUAUUUAAUAUAUGUGAUUCUGAAUCACUAUAUGGAAAUCAAGUUAAAACUUUCAACAACGGAUCUCUUGGUUCUG